AAAUUGAAGAGUUUGAUCAUGGCUCAGAUUGAACGCUGGCGGCAGGCCUAACACAUGCAAGUCGAGCGGAAACGAGUUAUCUGAACCUUCGGGGAACGAUAACGGCGUCGAGCGGCGGACGGGUGAGUAAUGCCUAGGAAAUUGCCCUGAUGUGGGGGAUAACCAUUGGAAACGAUGGCUAAUACCGCAUGAUGCCUACGGGCCAAAGAGGGGGACCUUCGG
RNAcentral lists this ribosomal RNA (222 nucleotides) under Vibrio alginolyticus. Its description in RNAcentral is "partial 16S ribosomal RNA". It matches the Rfam family "Bacterial small subunit ribosomal RNA", at positions 1 to 220 of the family's 1533-position model. The record is from RNAcentral. RNAcentral also lists the same sequence under 3 other names. Lineage: Bacteria; Pseudomonadati; Pseudomonadota; Gammaproteobacteria; Vibrionales; Vibrionaceae.